UAGGGAAUCUUCCACAAUGGACGAAAGUCUGAUGGAGCAACGCCGCGUGAGUGAAGAAGGGUUUCGGCUCGUAAAACUCUGUUGUUAAAGAAGAACAUAUCUGAGAGUAACUGUUCAGGUAUUGACGGUAUUUAACCAGAAAGCCACGGCUAACUACGUCCCAG
This 164-nucleotide ribosomal RNA is filed under the name uncultured bacterium. RNAcentral's name for it is "partial 16S ribosomal RNA". It matches the Rfam family "Bacterial small subunit ribosomal RNA", at positions 355 to 511 of the family's 1533-position model. The record is from RNAcentral.